Unclassified non-coding RNA from Lingula anatina, 4366 nucleotides. NCBI's taxonomy places the organism in Eukaryota, Metazoa, Brachiopoda, Lingulata, Lingulida, Lingulidae. The record is from RefSeq and is a predicted model, not a curated record.
UCGACUCCGAAGAAUGAGAUCAUCAACUCAAAACAACACACAUGAAACACAUGACUAAUCGAAUGCUACGCCAGCUUGUCAGAUGAUCUUUGGCAGAUUUAAAGUCAACUGAGCUUUGGUCAAACUUUCAAAGUAGCAGAGAAAAGUGAGCUAGACAUCACAACAUUAGACUCAGGUGGACAAUGGGGGUGUUCAGCAACAUUCAGGUUGUGGUUGAGCUACCUGCCAAUGUUCCUUUUAAGAGGAAACAGGCUCUCAAAAAGCAGAUCACAAAUAAUGAUGGUGUGAUUUCAUACAUAAUAACUAAAAAGACAAAUGUUGUAGUUAUUGAAAACAAAGAACAGGUGGAUUCUUCAUACAAAUGCAGGAAAGCCCUAGAUAUGGGGAUUCCUCUUGUGUCAGUGGACUUCAUCACAAGAUGUAUAGAACAGAAUGUGCUGCUUAAUACAGACAAUUUCCUUAUGGCUGGCAAAACCAAGGAUGAAAUAUUUAGCACUGGGAAGAUCGUUGCCUCAGAUCAAGUAAGGGACAAGCCCAAGAAGAAAAUUGUGUCAGUGAACUUAAACACGUGUAAAGUGUGGUCGUGGGAAGAUAGCCAACAACCAUUCUUUGACACAUACAAUUUUGUUAAGGGAGUUGUGCUUCAAAGGGAGGAAGGAAAAACAAAAGCAGUCCAUUUCUGCGUACUUGAAAUUCACACUCAUGCAGAUAAUAGAGCAGACAACACAUUCCGAGUAUUCACACACUGUGGCAAAUUGAGCUCUAGCAAGGAGGCUAACAAGUCUAAGAAAGAGUGUCGUUAUGCAUCAACAUCAGAGGAGGCCCUUUCUAUAUAUUCCCAGCUAUACAGGCUUUAUACAACUGCCCCACAUAAUUUAACAAAGACAAAAUGUCCUGUUUCACGGAGGAUUGGCUCAGACAAGUUUCAAGCGUUGCUAUGGCAAUUUGGCCAGGAUGCACCUGUGGGGAGAGAAGUUGGGGACCUGAUGGACCAUAUUUGGCAGGAAGCUACAGGACAGCUGGAAGAUACAUUAGACAUACCAUUGGAACAAGUCAAAUUGGAAGAGGUGGAGAAAGCAGAGGGCAUACUGUCACAAGUGAAAGAAGCUCUUGGAAAGGGAAAAGAUUCUGUUCAACUAAAAAAACUUUCAGGAGAAUUCUACAGUGCUCUGCCACACAGAUUAGGCCAUACUGAAACCAUUUCAACAAAGAGAAUAUUGGCAAAAAAACAAAACCUCUGUCAGCUGAUAAAAGAUAUGGUUGCUGUUAGUGAAGCAACCAAUUGGUCCACUAGAGGGAGCCAGCAGUCAAAAUACAGAGCAUUACGCUGUCAAAUUGAAUACUUAGCACCAAUAAGUGAAGAAUAUGAGAGGAUAAAAUCUUUGGUGGAAGAUACUGCACCAAACGGUUCAAAUAACCUGGAUAUUGUGAACAUAUUUGCUGUGCAUAGACCAGUCGAAGAUACUCAUUUCACUCACAACAUCAGCAACAAAAGACUGUUGAUGCAUGCCUCUUCUGUGCAGAACUGUGUGGGGAUACUCUCAAGAGGACUACUGAUGCCAAAGGUAGUGGUAGAUGACUUUGGAGGAAAUAGGACAGAUAUUGGGAUGCUGGGAAGUGGAAUCUAUUUUGCUGAUUCAUCAAGCACAAGUGUAAAAUACUCAUCCCCAAGCUGUGUAAAAGGUACACGCAUGAUGCUGGUGAAUGAGGUAGCAUUGGGCCAGUGUAAGGAUUACUAUAAUUUCCAGACAGAGCUCAAGGCACCACCAGAGGGCUAUCAGAGUGUAAGAGGUGUGAAAAGUACAGAGAAUAUGACAUCAGAGUUUGAGGAUGAUGAGUAUGCUAUUUUCAAUACCAACCAGCAGCGAAUACGUUAUCUAGUAGAAUUCACAUUACCAAAUGAUAAAAUCAAGCAAAUGCAAGGAGAAGUGAGUGAAGAAAUAGAAAUAGAAGAACAAGCAGUAGAAGAACAAAUAGGAAUCCAGGAUGUGAGCAGCAUCACUGACCCACUGUCCAAAGUACAGGCUGGACUGGUGUCUAGUUCAGAUGAAGCUGUGCCACUACAUUCUGUCAGUGUCAAGGCAAAGCUGCAAGAUUUAGCUGCACAGGUUGUUGUAUUUCAAGUCUAUCAGAACCAGAGUGACCACUCUAUUGAAGCCAAGUAUGUGUUCCCUCUGGAUGAUAUGGCAGCAGUGUGUGGAUUUGAAGCAUACAUCAACAACAAGCAUAUCAUAGGGGAAGUCAAGGAGAAAGAAACAGCACACAGGGAAUACAAGAAGGCCAUUAGUGAGGGCCAUGGAGCUUACCUCAUGGACCAAGAUGAAGAAACACCAGAUGUGUUUACAGUGAGUGUUGGCAACCUCCCACCUAGGUGCCAAGUUGUGAUUAAGAUCACUUAUGUUGCGGAGCUGCAGGUGGAAGGAGAAAACAUAUGCUUUAGUUUGCCUGGUAGUGUGGCCCCUUGGAAGAAAGACUCUGCUCUUGCUGAAAUUACUCAGACAGAUGUGGAUACUGUCAAAGUAGAGAAAAGUGACCUCAGUGUUGAUGUGCAGGUUGCCAUAGAAAUGCCCUUUGACAUACGGACCAUCGAUUGUCCAUCCCACCAAGUCAAAGUCAAGAGAACUGCCUCCAUGGCUGUGGUGGAGAUGACAGCAGGACAAGCUUUGGGAGAUGGGUUCCAGUUAUUGAUAGGACUGGCCGAGAUCCAUGUGCCCAGGAUGUGGGUGGAGGAAGAUGCAGAUAACCCUGGAUCACCAGCUUGCAUGUUGACCUUCUACCCAGAGUUUGAAGCAGAGUCAGACCUGGCCUGUGAGGUUAUCUUACUGAUUGAUGUUUCCAAUUCUAUGAAGGAGAAAGCAUUGCAGGAUGCCAAGAAAGUGGCUUUGCUUACACUGCAUCAUCUGUCAAAUGGUUGUGUGUUUAAUGUUGUGUCUUUUGGAACUGGUUUUGAAGAGUUGUUUCCAUGUUCUAUGGGGAAGACAAAGUUAACAGUGAAACAAGCACAAGGAUUUAUUCAGGCAUUACAACCUUCUGGUGGGAACACAGAAGUUAUUCAACCACUGCAAGUAAAUUUCCUGCUCAAACCAAGUCAAGGGUUGCGCAACAUAUUCCUCAUCUCUGAUGGACAUGUCAACAACGAGGAAGCUGUCUUCACAGCUUUGAGAAAGAACUAUGAGCACACUAGGCUGUUUACUCUGGGAGUUAGUGCAACAGCCAAUAAGUACUUGCUACGGUCUUUAGCCAGAGUUGGAGCAGGGGCAUAUGAGUACUUUGACAAUAAAACUAAAUCCAAAUGGGAGAAAAAAGUGAAGUGUCAGCUAGACAAGGUCUCUCAGCCAGGCUUGACAUCUGUGUCUGUUGCUUGGCAACAGUAUGAUGAUGAUCUGCCACCUCCUGUACAGGCACCCAGCCAGAUCACCUCACUUUUCAAUGGUUCUAGACAGGUGGUGUAUGGGUUUGUGCCCAACUGUAUGCAAGCCACUCUUAAGGCAAUGAUCGCCGGAUUUGAAGUCUCUACAGUUGUUUCCACAUCUGACUUAAGCAUCACAAAAGGAAAGAUAUUACACCGUCUUACAGCUAAGGCAAUCCUUAGAGACUGGGAAGAGGGAAGCCUGGAUGAUGACAGGACACAGCAUGAGGUCCUGAAAAUGAAUCGAAAGAAUCUUAUAAUUCAGCUCAGCACAAAGUAUUCCAUUGUAACACAGUUUACCAGUUUCAUUGCCAUUGAAAAGAGAGAAAAGGAUGAAGAUAUGAGCAGUGAAGGUCCGAGGAUUGAGGCUAUCUUGGCAGAAGAAGAUGUAGAUAUUCUGCCAUAUAUUGGAUGGAAGGAGAAGGAAGAGAUUCUUAACAAGCAGGAGGAAAAACGGUUAAUAUUUCAUCUGACCUGUAAAGUUCUUUGACAUGUUUUUAGUCUAUUGUCUUGUCUGGAGAGAUAAGGCAGUUUGUUUCCAGUGUAAUUUGUUAUCUAGCCCUGAUUUGAAAACAAAGCCUUGCCUUAGAGGUGUGAUAAAAUGUUUUAUUGCAAGAACAUAAAAUUCCUUCUUGCAAAUUUGCGAAAGAAAUUGCCCCAGGCCUGAUAUUCUGCUGAGUGGGAUGAUAUGUGCUGUGUAUGUACUAAUUCUGUUUAUUUCUUUUGCUUAUAAAAUGUGGUCUGUACAAUUGCUUAAAUAGUGGCCACCACCUUGAAAAAAGUGUUGGAUGUUUUUGUUGUCCUGAAUCUUCAUUUUUCAAAGAAGUGACAUUUAUGUUUUGUGCAGUGAAUUAUUUGAGGCCUGAUCAAAGAUUACAUAUGAUUGCAAUAAAUGCAUGCAACAGUUCACUUCAUGAAAAUUAUGUAAAAAACAGUCCUGCUAUUUUGAUAUUGAAA